Molecule: ribosomal RNA, 254 nt
Filed under: uncultured bacterium
Lineage: Bacteria
Description: partial 16S ribosomal RNA
Rfam family: Bacterial small subunit ribosomal RNA
Source: RNAcentral
UACGUAGGGGGCGAGCGUUGUCCGGAUUCAUUGGGCGUAAAGCGCUUUAAGGCGGUUCGGUAAGUCGGGUGUGAAACCUCCAGGCUCAACCUGGAGACGCCACUCGAUACUGCUGUGACUAGAGUUCGGUAGGGGAUCACGGAAUUCCUGGUGUAGCGGUGAAAUGCGCAGAUAUCAGGAGGAACACCGGUGGCGAAGGCGGCCCACUGGGCUGUCACUGACGCUGAGGCGCGAAAGCUCGGGGAGCGAGCGGG